This 68-nucleotide small nucleolar RNA is filed under the name Carlito syrichta (Philippine tarsier). Its description in RNAcentral is "Small nucleolar RNA SNORD56 (ENSTSYG00000024802.2)". It matches the Rfam family "Small nucleolar RNA SNORD56". From Rfam's summary of the family: U56 belongs to the C/D class of snoRNA which contain the C (UGAUGA) and D (CUGA) box motifs. Most of the members of the box C/D family function in directing site-specific 2'-O-methylation of substrate RNAs. The record is from Rfam by way of RNAcentral. Lineage: Eukaryota; Metazoa; Chordata; Mammalia; Primates; Tarsiidae.
CUACAAAGAUAUCAAUAUUUUUCAUCAACAGUUCACCUCAUGAGUUUUGAACCUUUGAGCCUGAGUAA